RNAcentral lists this long non-coding RNA (598 nucleotides) under Olea europaea (common olive). Its description in RNAcentral is "long non-coding RNA (OEUR_LNC007819)". Lineage: Eukaryota; Viridiplantae; Streptophyta; Magnoliopsida; Lamiales; Oleaceae. The record is from RNAcentral.
CCGAUGAUCGUGCAGAGGACGGUGACAUGCAGGAGGUGAACGAUACGUGCGUUAUUUUUUCCAACUUAUGUGCUUUGGGUUCUAUUACCUUUCACUUUCCCCUAUGCAAAUGAUAAUGCAUAUCUUGUGUUUAUUCAUUUCACCCAAUUUGCUUUCAACUAGACUCAAGAGAGACCGUCCGCACCCUCCCUAGCAACGAGAAUGAGGAAGGCCCAUCGACCCAUGACAUCACGAAGGUGGAAGGUACGUGCCUAUUAUCCUAUGUGGUCUCUUUCACACAUAAUUGUUUCACAAAAAUGCUGAAAUUGUUUAUAUGGGUGCUGCCACAGAGUUGCUGGCACAGGUGAGCGUACCAGAAAAGGAAGGCAAUGUGGACAGCACAAACCGACGGUGAUCGAAUAGUGUUCGACGUCCUACACCACCUACCCAGACUCCAUACACGAGGGGAAGGCAAAGAGAGUAAAGAAAUAAGUGAGUUCAAGUUGUUUAGUAAGAUGUGUUGUAGUAGUAGAAACAUUCUUCGUAACGAGGACAUGCUUUUAAUUUGGUUUAUUCUAUGGACGGAUACGGUUGCUCACCCAUAUGCUAUACGUUAAAC